RNAcentral lists this ribosomal RNA (463 nucleotides) under uncultured bacterium. RNAcentral describes it as "partial 16S ribosomal RNA". It matches the Rfam family "Bacterial small subunit ribosomal RNA", at positions 28 to 507 of the family's 1533-position model. The record is from RNAcentral.
GACGAACGCUGGCGGCGUGCUUAACACAUGCAAGUCGAACGGAAAGGCCUUUUCGGAGGUACUCGAGUGGCGAACGGGUGAGUAACACGUGGGUGAUCUGCCCUGCACUCUGGGAUAAGCCUGGGAAACUGGGUCUAAUACCGGAUAGGACCGCACUUUAGUGUGUGUGGUGGAGAGUUUUUUCGGUGUAGGAUGAGCCCGCGGCCUAUCAGCUUGUUGGUGGGGUAAUGGCCUACCAAGGCGGCGACGGGUAGCCGGACUGAGAGGUUGGCCGGCCACAUUGGGACUGAGAUACGGCCCAGACUCCUACGGGAGGCAGCAGUGGGGAAUAUUGCACAAUGGGCGCAAGCCUGAUGCAGCGACGCCGCGUGGGGGAUGACGGCCUUCGGGUUGUAAACUCCUUUCGCCAGGGACGAAGCGUUUUGUGACGGUACCUGGAGAAGAAGCACCGGCUAACUACGUG